AUAGGUGCUAAUACCGCAUAAGCGCACAGCUUCGCAUGAAGCAGUGUGAAAAACUGAGGUGGUAUACGAUGGUUCCGCGUCUGAUUAGCUAGUUGGUGGGGUAAAAGCCUACCAAGGCAACGAUCAGUAGCCGGCCUGAGAGGGUGAACGGCCACAUUGGGACUGAGACACGGCCCAAACUCCUACGGGAGGCAGCAGUGGGGAAUAUUGCACAAUGGGGGAAACCCUGAUGCAGCGACGCCGCGUGAGUGAAGAAGUAUUUCGGUAUGUAAAGCUCUAUCAGCAGGGAAGAAAUACUGACCAUAGGGUCAGCAGACGGUACUCGACUAAGAAGCCCCGGCUAACUACGUGCCAGCAGCCGCGGAAAUACGUAGGGGGCAAGCGUUAUCCGGAUUUACUGGGUGUAAAGGGAGCGU
Molecule: ribosomal RNA, 416 nt
Filed under: uncultured bacterium
Lineage: Bacteria
Description: bacterial SSU rRNA
Rfam family: Bacterial small subunit ribosomal RNA
Source: RNAcentral